UUAAACGUUAGAGUUUGAUCCUGGCUCAGAACGAACGCUGGCGGCAUGCUUAACACAUGCAAGUCGAACGAGAAAGCUCUUCGGAGUGAGUAGAGUGGCGCACGGG
Molecule: ribosomal RNA, 106 nt
Filed under: Pseudobdellovibrionaceae bacterium
Lineage: Bacteria; Pseudomonadati; Bdellovibrionota; Bdellovibrionia; Bdellovibrionales; Pseudobdellovibrionaceae
Description: Bdellovibrionaceae bacterium partial 16S ribosomal RNA
Rfam family: Bacterial small subunit ribosomal RNA
Source: RNAcentral